Molecule: unclassified non-coding RNA, 286 nt
Filed under: plant metagenome
Description: partial contains small subunit ribosomal RNA, internal transcribed spacer 1, and 5.8S ribosomal RNA
Source: RNAcentral
UUUCCGUAGGUGAACCUGCGGAAGGAUCAUUAUCGAGUUUUGAAACAGGUUGUAGCUGGCUCUCUAAUACAGGGCAUGUGCACGCCUGGCUCAUCCACUCUUCAACCUCUGUGCACUUAUUGUAGGUUGGUGAAAGGCUUGUUUUGUUUUGUUUUAUUUAAAAAUGAAAUAAAAAACCAGCCGGAAGCCUUCCUAUGUUUCUAUCACAAACAUUUCAGUUGUAGAAUGUAUCUCUGCGUAUAACGCAUCUAUAAUACAACUUUCAGCAACGGAUCUCUUGGCUCUC